Molecule: ribosomal RNA, 509 nt
Filed under: uncultured bacterium
Lineage: Bacteria
Description: bacterial SSU rRNA
Rfam family: Bacterial small subunit ribosomal RNA
Source: RNAcentral
CAGCAACGCCGCGUGUGUGAAGAAGGCUCUCGGGUCGUAAAGCACUGUCGAGUGGAACGAGCAGGCCGUGGUCAAUACCCACGGUCCCGACGGUACCACUUGCAGGAAGCACCGGCUAACUCCGUGCCAGCAGCCGCGGUAAUACGGAGGGUGCAAGCGUUGUUCGGAAUUAUUGGGCGUAAAGCGCGCGCAGGCGGGACAUCAAGUCUGGUGUGAAAUCCCUCGGCUCAACCGAGGACGUGCAUCGGAAACUGAUGUUCUUGAGUCCUGGAGAGGGUGGCGGAAUUCCCAGUGUAGAGGUGAAAUUCGUAGAUAUUGGGAGGAACACCAGUGGCGAAGGCGGCCACCUGGACAGUGACUGACGCUGAGACGCGAAAGCGUGGGUAGCAAACAGGAUUAGAUACCCUGGUAGUCCACGCCGUAAACGAUGGGUACUAGUUGGUGCGGGUAUUGACCCCUGCGAGUGACGUAGCUAACGCAUUAAGUACCCCGCCUGGGGAGUACGUCGC